GCGGCGGCCAAUCCGGGCGCGGCUCUCAUGCGGCAGACAGAUGAUCAAGCCGGAGUGCCAAGCCCUCCCUGCCCGAGUACUGAGAGCCUGUCCUCCAUGUUUUAUAAGUAUUGACAUAACACUGUGUUAACAAUGCAUCCACAGAGCUUGGCUGAAGAGGAAAUAAAGGCAGAGCAGGAGGUGGUGGAGGGGAUGGACAUCUCCACUCGAUCCAAAGAUCCUGGCUCUGCUGAACGCACAGCACAAAAAAGGAAAUUUCCCAGCCCUCCACAUUCCUCUAAUGGCCACUCACCACAAGAUGCAUCAACAAGUCCUAUAAAAAAGAAAAAGAAACCUGGUCUAUUGAACAGUAAUAAUAAAGAGCAGUCAGAACUAAGACAUGGUCCGUUUUACUAUAUGAAGCAGCCACUCACCACAGACCCUGUUGAUGUUGUACCGCAGGAUGGACGGAAUGAUUUCUAUUGCUGGGUUUGUCAUCGGGAAGGCCAAGUCCUCUGCUGCGAGCUCUGCCCUCGGGUUUAUCAUGCUAAGUGUCUGAAACUGACAGCCGAGCCAGAGGGGGAUUGGUUUUGCCCCGAAUGUGAGAAAAUCACAGUGGCAGAAUGCAUAGAAACACAGAGUAAAGCAAUGACAAUGCUCACCAUCGAACAGCUAUCAUAUCUACUGAAGUUUGCACUACAGAAAAUGAAACAGCCAGGGACAGAGCCAUUUCAAAAGCCAGUUUCACUGGAUCAACACCCAGAUUAUGCAGAAUAUAUCUUUCAUCCAAUGGACCUUUGUACAUUAGAGAAGAAUGUUAAAAAGAAAAUGUACGGUUGCACUGAAGCAUUUUUGGCUGAUGCCAAAUGGAUUUUGCACAACUGCAUUAUUUACAAUGGGGGAAAUCACAAAUUGACACAGACAGCAAAAGUCAUCAUCAAAAUCUGUGAGCAUGAGAUGAAUGAAAUCGAAGUUUGUCCGGAAUGUUAUUUAGCUGCUUGCCAAAAACGAGAAAAUUGGUUUUGUGAGCCUUGUAGCAAUCCCCACCCUUUGGUCUGGGCUAAACUCAAAGGCUUUCCAUUCUGGCCUGCUAAAGCACUGAGGGAUAAAGACGGGCAAGUCGAUGCCCGUUUCUUUGGCCAACAUGACAGGGCCUGGGUUCCAAUAAAUAAUUGCUACCUCAUGUCUAAAGAAAUUCCUUUUUCUGUGAAAAAGACUAAAAGCAUCUUCAAUAGUGCAAUGCAAGAAAUGGAGGUUUAUGUUGAUAACAUUCGUAGAAAAUUUGGAGUAUUUAAUUACGCACCUUUCCGGACACCAUAUACUCCCAACAAUCAAUACCAAAUGUUGUUAGACCCUGCAAACCCAACUGCUGGAACUGCAAAGACAGACAAACAAGAGAAAAUCAAACUGAACUUUGAUAUGACAGCAUCACCCAAGAUUCUGAUGAGCAAGUCCAUGCUGAGCAGCAGCACAGGCCGUAGGAUUUCAUUGACAGAUAUGCCACGGUCACCAAUGAGUACAAACUCAUCAGUUCACACUGGCUCUGAUGUUGAACAGGAUGCAGAGAAAAAAGCAACUUCCAGUCAUUUUAGUGCCAGUGAAGAAUCCAUGGACUUUAUUGAGAAAAAUACAGCUUCUCCAGCACCAACAAGAACAGGGCAAGCAGGGAGCUUGUCAGGCAGCCCCAAACCUUUCUCUCCUCAAGCAUCAACACCAAUUUCUUCUAAGCAAGAAAGAACCUCCACUCCAGGAAGCAUUCUGAAUCUUAAUCUUGACCGUAGCAAAGCUGAGAUGGAUCUGAAAGAGCUGAGUGAGUCAGUCCAGCAGCAGAGCACUCCUGUGCAGCUCAUCUCCCCCAAACGACAGAUCCGGAGCAGGUUCCAGCUGAACCUGGACAAGACAAUAGAGAGCUGCAAGGCACAACUUGGAAUAAAUGAAAUAUCUGAAGCUGUUUAUACUGCAGUAGAACACAGUGACUCUGAAGAUUCUGAAAAAUCCGACACCAGUGACAGCGAAUAUAGUGAUGAGGAUCAGAAAUCAAAGAAUGAUCAAGAAGAUGGUGAGGACAAAGAAGGUACAAGAAGUGACAAAGAAUCAUUGAGCUUGAAAAAAAAACCUAAGCCCCCAGCACAGAAUGAAGACAAGGAGGAACUUAAAAGCACAAGUCCAGAAGUGGAGAAAACGGAAGAACCGGUCAAGGAAAAGUCCAUUUCAGACACUGAGAAAGAAUUUUCUGAAAAGGGAAAAAGUUUACAGCAUCCUGCAAAAGAAAAGCUGAAAGGUAAAGAUGAAACAGACUCUCCAACUGUGCAUCUAGGACUGGACUCUGAUUCUGAGAGUGAACUUGUCAUCGAUCUAGGAGAUGAUCAUUGUGCUCGUGAAGGAAGGAAAAACAAGAAAGAAUCUAAAGAACCUUCUCCCAAACAAGAUGUUAUAGGUAAAACUCCACCCUCCUCCAGUGCAAGCACCCAGCCUCUACCAGAAACUCCAGUCCUCACCCGUUCUGCAGCCCAGACCCCCCCAGCUGGUGUGACAGCAACCACGAGUGCUGCUUCCACUGCCAGUGCUCCAUCUGCAGCCACAGGGAGCCCUGUGAAAAAGCAGAGACCUUUGCUGCCCAAGGAAACUGCCCCUGCUGUGCAGCGGGUGGUGUGGAAUUCUUCCAAUAAAUUCCAGACAUCUUCUCAGAAAUGGCACAUGCAGAAGGUACAGAGGCAGCAGCAACAGCAGCAGAGCCAGCAGGCUCAGUCACAGCAACCUCAGUCCUCUCAAGGGACAAGAUACCAGACAAGACAAGCAGUUAAAGCUGUGCAGCAAAAAGAGAUCACCCAGAGCACUUCCACGUCCACUAUAACCUUAGUCACAAGCACUCAGCCUAUUUCUAUGGUUACCAGUUCUGGAUCUGCAAGUACACUUUCUUCCUCACUAAACACAGACCUGCCCAUUGCAACAGCUUCAGCUGAUGUGGCUGCAGAUAUUGCUAAAUAUACCAGCAAAAUGAUGGAUGCCAUCAAAGGAACAAUGACUGAAAUAUAUAAUGAUCUCUCAAAAAAUACUACUGGAAGUACAAUAGCUGAGAUUCGGCGUUUGAGGAUUGAGAUAGAAAAACUUCAAUGGCUCCAUCAACAGGAACUCUCAGAAAUGAAGCAUAACCUAGAACUGACAAUGGCUGAAAUGCGCCAGAGCCUGGAGCAGGAACGAGAUCGUUUGAUUGCUGAGGUGAAGAAGCAGCUGGAACUGGAAAAGCAACAAGCAGUGGAUGAAACCAAGAAGAAGCAGUGGUGUGCCAACUGCAAGAAAGAGGCCAUCUUCUACUGCUGUUGGAAUACCAGCUACUGUGACUACCCCUGCCAACAAGCUCACUGGCCUGAGCACAUGAAAUCGUGCACACAGUCAGCUACUGCGACACAGCAAGAAACAGAUACUGAAAUUAGCACAGAAACACUAAAUAAAUCAUCCCAGCCCAGUUCAAGUGUGCAGUCUACACCCACAGAAACAGCCAGCACCCCUAAGGAAAAGGAAGGUUCAGCUGAUAAAAGCAAAGAGAGUGUUACAGAUCCAUCAGUGUAGCUUCUGGUCUGGAUCUUUCGAUACAAGUUGCCUUCUGAUAAGCAAUACUGACUGCAGCACUUCCAAGCCCUUCUUGCCUGGGGGUUCAGAGGCCAAGCUCAAGACCUGCAUUCAAAUCAACUUACUUUAUCACCACAGACUGUCAUUAGGGUACCACAAUGUUCCAUAACACUGAUACAACAGUUCACCUGGAUCUACGGUUAACGGAGCAGUUCCGAAAUCCUCCAUAGCAUCUACUCUGAUAGUAUUCAGUAGGCAAGGAUGAGCAAAUGCUCUAAUAAAAGGGACUUAACAUUGCAUAUAUAGAAAAUGUUUAUAGAGAAGAUUCUGCUUUAUAGGUAGGGCUUGACUAUUAGCAAUUUUGGCAUCAUUUUUUUUUUUCUCCCCUUGCAAGAUUUAUUAAAUGAAAAAUUUUAGGGGGGGGGCUGAUCCUUCAAACCCUUACACGUGAUCCUGCACAUCAGUAGGAGCCUUGUUGUAUUUUAAAAUAUUAAAGGCAAACUAAUUUUGUAGUAUUGUGAUUCCAGCAUGAUGUCUCAUUGAGAUAGUCCUGUAGAAUUGGGAAGCAUAGUAAUCUAGAGAGCUGUGUUCAUUUCUUGACACUUUUGCUACUGUCUGGUGUUAGAUCUCUGGGCUUGACAUGUCACCUAAGGGAGUAACUUGGGGAAACAGAUUUGAAGAGGGGGAAUAAGGAUGUGCUGUUCCACUUGAAUACUUUGAUGAAGUUGGUUAAACUCUGGCUCAUUCAGUUGAUGUUUGUUUGCAUUGUUCUGGUGGCACAAGCUUUAUAUUACUGGGGAAAUAGGGAAUGUGAGACCUAAAGCUUGCCAGGGAAUAUUCCAGUUAUACAAAUCUGGAAUUUCACAUAGGUGUUCUACCUGAAACAUCAUGCUGUAUACAUGGAUUAUGUUCACAAUUUGAAUUUUGUUUGAUUAACAAAGAAGUAACCUGUGAAUUCAUUGAGAUGCAGAUAAACAUCCAACAUAAAUUUCCUAUCGUAGUAACAAAAACUAGGUGGAAUUUAUGUAAAAGCUGAGGCUUCUACUGAGGUUGCCCGUGCUGUCUCUGCAGAUAGCAACAGGUGUGACAAGCAACCAGCCUAUAAAACUGGUCCAGGUACCACAGACCACCACCUAUAUUCCAACUACUCAACCCACAAUUACCAUUCCUGUAGUGGUAAGUCCUUCUGCUGGGACAGUGGCAAUGAGAACUGGAGUUCAGUAUGUUCAGACCACAAUGCCAGUCCAAGUACGAAGAGUCUAACUGCUAACAAGAAGUCCAUACAAUUGUUGGAAUAAAUAAGUCUAAUAGAAAUGUGAAAAAUAAACACAGUUCUUUGGAUUAACCUCAAA
Molecule: RNA transcript, 4901 nt
Organism: Chiroxiphia lanceolata (lance-tailed manakin)
Lineage: Eukaryota; Metazoa; Chordata; Aves; Passeriformes; Pipridae
Gene: ZMYND8
Gene name: zinc finger MYND-type containing 8
Exons: 22
Source: RefSeq, a predicted model, not a curated record